Molecule: ribosomal RNA, 445 nt
Filed under: uncultured bacterium
Lineage: Bacteria
Description: partial 16S ribosomal RNA
Rfam family: Bacterial small subunit ribosomal RNA
Source: RNAcentral
ACAGACUCCUACGGGAGGCAGCAGUGGGGGCUCUUGCACAAUGGUUUGCCCCCUGAUGCCGCGCCGCCGCGUGGGUGCAGGAGCGUUUCGGCGCGUAAAGCCCUAUCGGCAGGGAAGCAGGAGGACGGUCCCUGACUAAGAAGCCCCGGCUAACUACGUGCCAGCAGCCGCGGUAAUACGUAGGGGGCAAGCGUUAUCCGGAUUUACGGGGGGUAAAGGGAGCGGAGGCGGUUAGAUAAGGCUGAUGUGAAGGCCCACAGCUGAACUGGGGGAUUGCAGUGGAAACUAUAGAACUAGAGGGGCGGAGAGGUAAGGGGAAUUCCUAGGGGAGCGGUGAAAGGCGGAGAUAUUAGGAGGAACACCAGUGGCGAAGGCGGCUUACGGGACGAUGACUGACGCUGAGGCUCGAAAGCGUGGGGAGCAAACAGGAUUAGAUCCCCCGGUA